This is a long non-coding RNA of Oncorhynchus nerka (sockeye salmon), 2174 nucleotides long. RefSeq lists it as uncharacterized. The record is from RefSeq and is a predicted model, not a curated record. Lineage: Eukaryota; Metazoa; Chordata; Actinopteri; Salmoniformes; Salmonidae. The transcript has 2 exons.
AAGUCAUUGUGUCAUUGUAUAGCAACUUGACUUAGUGAUGCGUUCAGGGGGGACCCCACUUGGGAUAUACAGAGUAUUCAUUGUCUACUAAGUAAAUUACUAUUAUUUAGGUUCUGCGGCAGUGUUUCUUUGUCAGAGAAAAGCAGAUGCUUCCUGGGGAAGUGCCAGAGAAUGGCAGGAAGAGAGGCUGAGGUGGAGUGCAUUUCUACAACUCAGAUAGGAGAGGACCUUAUCCACAGCACAUCUCAGACAGGAGAGGACCUUGUCCACAGCACAUCUCAGACAGGAGAGGGCCUUGUCCACAGCACAUCUCAGACAGGAGAGGACCUUGUCCACAGCACAUCUCAGACACGAGAGGACCUUAUCCACAGUACAUCUCAGACAGGAGAGGACCUUGUCCACAGCACAUCUCAGACACGAGAGGACCUUAUCCACAGCACAUCUCAGACAGGAGAGGACCUUAUCCACAGUACAUCUCAGACAGGAGAGGACCUUGUCCACAGCACAUCUCAGACAGGAGAGGACCUUGUCCACAGCACAUCUCAGACAGGAGAGGACCUUGUCCACAGUACAUCUCAGACAGGAGAGGACCUUGUCCACAGCACAUCUCAGACAGGAGAGGACCUUAUCCACAGUACAUCUCAGACAGGAGCAGUCCAAGGGACACAGAGGGAAGGGUCCGGUGUGGGGGAACCAAAGGAAAUGGAAUUCUAAGUGCACAGGAAAAGGAGUCUCCCCCAAAAGCCACGAGAGAACAAAGGAACAAGGGAGUGAAGUCACACUUCCUUUUGUCUACUUACUGUGAAAAUUGACCACACAGUCCUUCAGGUGAGGAGGCAACUGUUUGCCGUGGUGGAUGGAAAUCUGCCACAGUACCCCUACUAAACAUAAUCCGGUCGAAGGACCAUGAAAAGGAACCCAAGAUAUUUAACUGGUUGGAUAGAUGUCACCAGGUGUACUCAGCUCCGGUCAGAGAGCAAGCAGACGACAGAGAGGACUGGUGGUUGGAUAUGGUAAAGGUGUGUGAUUCUGCAACAAAGGAGAGGCAUCAUGUCAGGUUGCAUAACAUAAAAGGUCAUGUUGAUAAGGACAAAGCUAUUAAAACAUAUCUCAAAUGAUGAAAAUGACAUUGUUAGGUAACUACAAUAAACAUGGAAAAAAGGAAACAAACUUACUCUUAACUUGAACGCCCACAACUGGAAAGAAAUGUAGGAAUUUCUUGCUAGGAUUUAAAUACAAAAGGUGUGAAUGAGCGUAUCUGGGCAGUCCGAAUAAUUAGUGACAAGUUUGUGCCAUUGAGAGAGUCAACAGGUAGUAAACAAGUUCCAUCUCAGCAGUAUGCUGCGCCACUGAGCGCUUUUGUACAAAACCAAUAACAACCUUUGGAGUAUUGAGUGUCAGUGCAAUGUGCUUCAUCUUAUCAUCCUAAAAGCUAAUUUAUGCUUGAUCUGGAAAUGUGGUCGGAGGCUGUAAUUUCGGAGCCUCCAGAGGCAUGCAGAGGCCAAAUCAAGCUCCUUACCGCAUCGCUGUGCACCUCUCAAAUUUUGCAACAAUGCGGAGGGCUCCUUAAAGCUCCACAUUGACAUGAUUGGUUGACGGUAGGUGGGGGCGGGAGGUCCUGUAUAAACACAAACUCACUUCGCAAGAAGUAUGAAAACCCUGAAGUCUGCAGAGGUUGCAUCACAGUAAAUGCUGUACGGGCACUUCAGACAUCAGAUUGACCACGCAGAGCCUUUAUUAACACUAUUGUACUUGAGGACUAUUUCUAUGGUUUUACUUAGUGGGAGUCAUGACGCCAAAAGUCGAAUUAUGAUAUUGUAGCGACCCGCACAGACAGCUGUGUGUUAUGUGCUAGGCUAGGAGGUGGUUGUGUUGUACUGACCAGUACCCGGUGUUCGCGGGGUCCGACAUGUCAAUCAACCUGCUAUCUGCCAAUCACGGGAAUGCCUGGAAUGUUCUGAUGCCGGGCAUCCUGGUGGUUGGCGGAGUGGCGUGGAGGGGGGGUUGGGCAUUGGAAGUUAAGACCAGGUUCAGCCUUUGUUCUCUCUCUCUUACAUCUGGGCUUCACAAGAGAAGGUCACGGUUGGAUUGUGGGUUAUCUAUUUGGCGUGUGCUACGGCCCAAACAGUAGCCUGUGUAAAGUUGGUUCAAUAAACCGCCAAUUCGCAAGCUCA